Molecule: ribosomal RNA, 477 nt
Filed under: uncultured Actinomycetes bacterium
Lineage: Bacteria; Bacillati; Actinomycetota; Actinomycetes
Description: bacterial SSU rRNA
Rfam family: Bacterial small subunit ribosomal RNA
Source: RNAcentral
CCGCCUGGGGAGUACGGUCGCAAGACUUAAACUCAAAGGAAAUGACGGGGGCCCGCACAAGCCGCGGAGCAUGCGGAUUAAUUCGAUGCAACGCGAAGAACCUUACCAAGGCUUGACAUAUACAGGAAAAGCGUAGAAAUACGCUCCCCGCAAGGUCUGUAUACAGGUGGUGCAUGGUUGUCGUCAGCUCGUGUCGUGAGAUGUUGGGUUAAGUCCCGCAACGAGCGCAACCCUCGUCCUAUGUUGCCAGCACGUAAUGGUGGGAACUCAUGGGAGACUGCCGGGGUCAACUCGGAGGAAGGUGGGGAUGACGUCAAAUCAUCAUGCCCCUUAUGUCUUGGGCUUCACGCAUGCUACAAUGGCCGGUACAAAGGGCUGCAAUACCGCAAGGUGGAGCGAAUCCCAUAAAGCCGGUCUCAGUUCGGAUUGGGGUCUGCAACUCGACCCCAUGAAGUCGGAGUCGCUAGUAAUCGUAGA